Molecule: unclassified non-coding RNA, 378 nt
Filed under: plant metagenome
Description: partial contains 5.8S ribosomal RNA, internal transcribed spacer 2, and large subunit ribosomal RNA
Rfam family: 5.8S ribosomal RNA (bases 1-105)
Source: RNAcentral
GAAAUGCGAUAAGUAAUGUGAAUUACAGAAUUCAGUGAAUCAUCGAAUCUUUGAACGCACCUUGCGCUCCUUGGUAUUCCUUGGAGCAUGCCUGUUUGAGUAUCAUGAAAUCUUCAAAGUAAAUCUUUUGUUAACUCAAUUGGUUUCUACUUUGGUAUUGGAGGUCUUUGCAGCUUCACACCUGCUCCUCUUUGUUCAUUAGCUGGAUCUCAGUGUUAUGCUUGGUUCCACUCGGCGUGAUAAGUUAUCUAUCGCUGAGGACACUGUAAAAGGUGGCCAAGGUAAAUGCAGAUGAACCGCUUCUAAUAGUCCAUUGACUUGGACAAUACUUUUAUGAUCUGAUCUCAAAUCAGGUAGGACUACCCGUUGAACUUAAGC